GUGCUCAUUUUGACAACAAGUAUACUAAAACUAGAACCAUACAGACAGGAUUAGCAUGGCUUCUGCACAUGGAUGAUCCAAUAAGACAGUUCCUUAUACCU
Molecule: small nuclear RNA, 101 nt
Organism: Ochotona princeps (American pika)
Lineage: Eukaryota; Metazoa; Chordata; Mammalia; Lagomorpha; Ochotonidae
Source: Ensembl